This is a long non-coding RNA of Scleropages formosus (Asian bonytongue), 780 nucleotides long. Lineage: Eukaryota; Metazoa; Chordata; Actinopteri; Osteoglossiformes; Osteoglossidae. The record is from Ensembl.
CGUUUCCUCUAAAGAUGGAAUCUAAUGGGUUCCGUUGGAAUUAAGAAGAGGGAGGCGUCAUGCUGACCGCAGGCAGGUUUCCAAUCACCGCGUCUCCAGGCGGCUGGUCAGUUAUCGAUUCUUGUCAAACGGGAGUCACGCGCAGGAUCGCGGAGUUGAGAAAAAGUCUGCAAUUGAUUGUGGGGUUUUUAAAACAUUUCCGGUGAUGACUUGAUAUAGAAGACGCGAUACGGACACUUUGGAUAAACUUGUCAAUUCAAGUUACGUGUUCCAUUUAUUGCGAUUUUCCCUGAAUUCUAUGAUAUGGCUCAGUGAGUAACACAAGAACCUAUUAAAAAAUGUAGUGUGUUCAAAGAUAAGUAUUUAAAAUAUAAAAAAAACGCGAAAGACAUUUUAACACAAGUAAAGUUAAUAAGCAGUACGGACCACGAAAUGAGAAAUUGUCGCGAUUCUGUUACUCUCAUGGCUAUUUUAUACAAUAUCCCUUAAGCUUUGAAAGCUCGGAGAAAAACGUGACGUUUUGGGGGCAUCGUCCGGGAUUGCAAACUUCUGCUGAGGGCAACCCACGAGCAGCGAGGAACCCAACAAAGGGAGCGACUGUCCUAGGCCUAAGGGACCCACUGGUGACCAAGACCGAGCAAAAGUUAGGGCUGGCCCAUCCCGCGGUCCACGGAUCGACUCGGACGGAAUACUCCAUCGCCACAGAGAGCACAAGUUUUUCCUGCAAGUGAAAAUGCCAAAACCAGAAAGGAGGAGGAGCUUCCGCUGUAUCCCGUGCUU